This 433-nucleotide ribosomal RNA is filed under the name uncultured Pseudomonas sp. RNAcentral describes it as "bacterial SSU rRNA". It matches the Rfam family "Bacterial small subunit ribosomal RNA", at positions 950 to 1382 of the family's 1533-position model. Lineage: Bacteria; Pseudomonadati; Pseudomonadota; Gammaproteobacteria; Pseudomonadales; Pseudomonadaceae. The record is from RNAcentral.
UUCGAAGCAACGCGAAGAACCUUACCAGGCCUUGACAUGCAGAGAACUUCCCAGAGAUGGAUUGGUGCCUUCGGGAACUCUGACACAGGUGCUGCAUGGCUGUCGUCAGCUCGUGUCGUGAGAUGUUGGGUUAAGUCCCGUAACGAGCGCAACCCUUGUCCUUAGUUACCAGCACGUUAUGGUGGGCACUCUAAGGAGACUGCCGGUGACAAACCGGAGGAAGGUGGGGAUGGCGUCAAGUCAUCAUGGCCCUUACGGCCUGGGCUACACACGUGCUACAAUGGUCGGUACAAAGGGUUGCCAAGCCGCGAGGUGGAGCUAAUCCCAUAAAACCGAUCGUAGUCCGGAUCGCAGUCUGCAACUCGACUGCGUGAAGUCGGAAUCGCUAGUAAUCGUGAAUCAGAGUGUCACGGUGAAUACGUUCCCGGGCCUU